CCAAAAACUAUCUUCUUCUUCUUCCUAUUUUUCUAAGAAAAACCGUCCACCAUGGGAGAGGAAAAAGCGUGAGGUUCUCAAAUAAGUCUCACCCCGAUUUUUUGUCAAACCGUCGAUUUAAUCGUGUAAACGUUAUGAAAUCAACUACACCCAAAUGUAGCAAAUGAAAGGAAAAAGGAUCGGCGAAAGAAGAAAUGUCGAAUGGAAAGGUUUGGAAAUAACGUCAUCCAGGUAUUAUGCUCAACACUUAAAUGGCCUAAUUCUCUUACGUGUUUUUCCGUGAUUAUUACGUGACUUAUUGUCUACAUAAUUUAUGAUUAAUUAUGUGAUUAAAUAUUCAUGAAGUAAAAUAUAAGAAUAUGAUGGAUUGUUGAUUGAUUUGAUAAUGAAAUAUGUGACAAGAGUAUACGUUGUGGAGAUGGAAAUAAAUGUGAUUAAAUGUGAUGAUGUCUGAUCUAUCUAUCUGUGAUGAGGUCUGAUUUGUCUGUAUGUGUUGAUAUAUUAUUAUCUUAGUAGAUUAUGAGUAAUUUAUGUGAUAAAAGAUUUAUGAAGUAAAACAUGAGAAUAUGAUGAAUUAUUGAAUGAGUUGGCAUUGAGAUGUGAAAAGGGAAGAAUAUGGUUGUAACUGUAGGUAAUGUGGAAAUGAGCAUUAAGGAGGAUAUGAUAAAUGAUAUAUGAUGAUGAGAUGUAUACAAAUAUGAUUAAAUGUGAUGAUGCUUGAUCUAUCUAUCUAUCUGUGAUGAGGUAUGAUCUGUCUGUGUUGUUGGGAAUCUGAUAUGGUUUUGAGAAUGUCAGAAUUUAAUCUAUAAAUUCGAUAUGAUAUGGUGUGAAAAUAAGUUGUUGAUGUGUUAUAUUAGAAAUAGUUGAGAAUAUAUAUUGAGAUGAAAAUGAGUAGAUUUGAUGGUGUUUACGCCUCGUGCUUAAGUGUAUUCUGUGGGUACAAUUGGCAUGCCAUAGGACAGCAGCGCUGCAUCAUCUGUGAUCUCUCGUCUUUUGGAUAACCGAAGCGAGGAUCGUCUGUUAUCUGAUCUGUCUGAUCUGCACCCUAUGGGUGGUCUGUUCCCGGGAUUAUCUGUCUGCAUCCGAAAUGGGUGGUAUGAUCUGGUCCGCGUACCCUAGUCUGUCACUAGGCACAUUAAGGGGCCAUGUGUGAAAUUAUGUGUAAUGUCGAUCAAAAUAUUCGUGAUAAUAUAUGUGACAAUAUGUGCAUGACAAUAUAUGAGUUAUAAUAUGCGAUUAUGUGAAACAUCUGUUAUAAUUUGAUAUGAUAAUAUCUUAUACGUGAAAAUGUAUUAUGUUACAUGGUUCUGUUGAGAGUUUUGAUAUAAAUAUUGAAAAUCUGAGACUUGCAGACAUAAUUUAUGACAUAUGUGAAGUUUUGUAUUAUUAUACCGUUCUGAUGACAUAGUUUGGAAAUUUGAAGUCGUGGACGAAGAUUUGACUACUGGUACGGGUAUGUUGAUACGUGUGAUGACGUCUGUGAUAUGUCUGUGUUGAUGUGUGGAUAUCAUGUGGAAUACUUGACAUUUCAUAUGAAUACUGAUGACUGUUGAUAUGUUUUGGGAUUAAUAUUGUCUCCUAUUGGAUUCUGGGCACGUGUUGGUUAUAGGGCAGUUGUUGUCCAAUUUACGUUAGAAAUUAAUAAGACAAUAAUGAUAUGAUAGAUGUAGUGAUGAUUGAAACAAAAUAAUAAGAAUUUAAAGAAUUUUAAGUUGUAUGAUUAUUGAUUGUUAGAGAAUUGUGGCUGAAGUGUUGAGUGUGCUACAGGUUAUUUGGAUCGGGGAUUCCUUUGAAUAUUUCUUUCGUUUCUUCGCCAGCACUGCAUCCUCGGUGGGUCACUGGUCACUGCUUGCGGCGUUUGUGUCCAUUUCUGUUAGAUGUGGCAUGUAUAGUAUUUGAAUAUUUGUAAUAGCUUCCGUUGUGUUUGUAAAUAGUGUUGGAACUUUUGCUAAUAGUUUAAUGAAUUAAGUUUGGUUUUUAA
Salvia splendens (bonfire salvia) is the source of this 1981-nucleotide long non-coding RNA. RefSeq lists it as uncharacterized. NCBI's taxonomy places the organism in Eukaryota, Viridiplantae, Streptophyta, Magnoliopsida, Lamiales, Lamiaceae. The transcript has 2 exons. The record is from RefSeq and is a predicted model, not a curated record.